CUUAGAGUAGGUUAAAAAAACCGAGGGUUUGUGGAACCUUAAAUAUAUUUUAUCUUUAAG
RNAcentral lists this transfer RNA (60 nucleotides) under Galba pervia. RNAcentral's name for it is "tRNA-His". Lineage: Eukaryota; Metazoa; Mollusca; Gastropoda; Lymnaeidae. The record is from RNAcentral.